UGGAGUAUGGUGUAAUGGUAACACUACAGAUUCUGGUCCUGUCAUUCUAGGUUCGAAUCCUAGUACUCCAA
This 71-nucleotide transfer RNA is filed under the name Bacteroides sp. RNAcentral's name for it is "tRNA-Gln". It matches the Rfam family "tRNA". From Rfam's summary of the family: Transfer RNA (tRNA) molecules are approximately 80 nucleotides in length. Their secondary structure includes four short double-helical elements and three loops (D, anti-codon, and T loops). Lineage: Bacteria; Pseudomonadati; Bacteroidota; Bacteroidia; Bacteroidales; Bacteroidaceae. RNAcentral also lists the same sequence under 1 other name. The record is from RNAcentral.